Molecule: ribosomal RNA, 443 nt
Filed under: uncultured bacterium
Lineage: Bacteria
Description: partial 16S ribosomal RNA
Rfam family: Bacterial small subunit ribosomal RNA
Source: RNAcentral
CCUACGGGUGGCAGCAGUGGGGAAUAUUGGGCAAUGGAGGAAACUCUGACCCAGCAACGCCGCGUGAAUGAUGAAGGUCUUCGGAUUGUAAAGUUCUUUUCUAAGGGAAGAAGAAAGUGACGGUACCUUAGGAAUAAGCCUCGGCUAACUACGUGCCAGCAGCCGCGGUAAUACGUAGGAGGCGAGCGUUAUCCGGAAUGACUGGGCGUAAAGGGUGCGUAGGUGGUUUGGCAAGUUAGUAGCGUAACUCCAAGGCUCAACCUUGGAACUACUACUAAAACUGUUGGACUUGAGUGCAGGAGGGGCAACCGGAAUUCCUAGUGUAGCGGUGGAAUGCGUAGAUAUCGCGCAGAACUCCGAUUGCGAAGGCAGCAUGCCGGCUCCACACUGACGCUGAGGCACGAAAGCGUGGGUAUCGAACAGGAUUAGAUACCCUAGUAGUC